AACACCCAGAGAGGCAAUUGAAGGUAUGAUGAUUUCUGCACAGUUAGUCAUUGGAUUGAAUUGCUUUAGUUGGUAAUUCACAUUUUAUGUUAUAUUGGUUUGAUAUUGAAUUUAAUUUGCAUAAUAUUACAAUUAAAGUUGUUUAUAUGUUUGAAGGAUUUUAGUUUGUUAUAAUUGAGGGGACAAUUCUUUUCCAUGAUUUUAUUAUCACCCUUUGAACUGGAUUUUAGUCAAUAUUUGAAAUGCUAAACUUGUUAACUUUGGUUUUGGUCCUAACUGCUGAUUUACAUUUUGCUUAAUUGAUUCCUAUUAGCUUCCACUUGUAUAAAAAUUUGUUCCCUAUAUGCAGCACGGAGAAUUUAGAUUAAACAUCAUUGUUGUUUGAUUUUAAGUUAUGAUGAAGCUAUUUUAUCACCUUAAUUUUUAUCAUUUGUUGGUGCUGUUUAGGGAUUAACAAAUAAGUUCUCAGUGUCUUAUUUUUGUGUACAAUUUUGUGAGAAAUGGAUCUUACCUGGCAAAAAUGCAAGCACAUAGAAAAAUAAAACAGCUAUGUAUCUUCUUUACAACUUUGAUAAGCACAUUGAAGUGAUUAUUUGUCAUGCAUGUCAGUUGUAUGCCAUUGUGUCCUAACACGCUCGGUUAAACUAAAUUGGAGCUAAAAAUUUGAAGUUAAAGUAUUAUAGGAUGAUAUGCUCGAUUCAAAUUCAUAGAAGUGCUGGAUGAGGCUCGUUGACAAAGAGCACUUUUUUAUUGUUGUUACAGGGACAUAUAUUGAUAAAAAGUG
This 784-nucleotide unclassified non-coding RNA is filed under the name Hevea brasiliensis (rubber tree). Lineage: Eukaryota; Viridiplantae; Streptophyta; Magnoliopsida; Malpighiales; Euphorbiaceae. The record is from RNAcentral.